Molecule: ribosomal RNA, 3246 nt
Filed under: Triticum aestivum (bread wheat)
Lineage: Eukaryota; Viridiplantae; Streptophyta; Magnoliopsida; Poales; Poaceae
Description: partial small subunit ribosomal RNA
Source: RNAcentral
AUGAGGAUCAUGAUCAAGGGCGGGGUGUGGAAGAACACCGAGGACGAGAUCCUCAAGGCCGCCGUGAUGAAGUACGGCAAGAACCAGUGGGCGCGCAUCUCCUCGCUGCUCGUCCGCAAGUCCGCCAAGCAGUGCAAGGCCCGCUGGUACGAGUGGCUCGACCCCUCCAUCAAGAAGACUGAGUGGACAAGGGAAGAGGAUGAGAAGCUGCUCCAUCUUGCUAAGCUGAUGCCUACUCAAUGGAGGACUAUUGCACCUAUUGUGGGUCGAACACCAUCCCAGUGUCUCGAGCGUUAUGAAAAAUUGCUUGAUGCUGCCUGUGCAAAGGAUGAGAAUUAUGAGCCUAAUGAUGACCCAAGAAAGUUGCGACCUGGGGAGAUUGAUCCAAACCCCGAGUCAAAACCUGCACGUCCAGAUCCUGUUGACAUGGACGAAGAUGAAAAGGAAAUGCUUUCUGAGGCAAGGGCUCGCUUAGCUAACACCAGGGGUAAAAAGGCAAAACGGAAGGCAAGAGAGAAACAGCUUGAAGAGGCGAGGCGGCUUGCAUCACUGCAAAAAAGGAGAGAACUGAAGGCAGCUGGUAUUGACAACCGGCACAAAAAAAGAAAGAGAAAGGGAAUUGACUAUAAUGCCGAGAUCCCUUUUGAAAAGAGACCCCCUCCAGGCUUUUAUGAUACAGUGGGUGAGGACAGGCCACUUGAGCAUGUGCAGUUUCCAACUACGAUUGAGGAGCUUGAAGGGAGGAGAAGAGUGGAUGUAGAGGCUCAAUUGAGAAAGCAAGACAUUGCCAAGAACAAGAUUCUGCAGAGGCAGGAUGCUCCUGCCGCAAUAAUGCAAGCAAAUAAACUCAAUGACCCAGAAGCUGUCACGAGAAGGUCCAAACUAAUGCUUCCACCACCCCAAAUUUCUGAUCAUGAAUUGGAGGAGAUUGCAAAGAUGGGCAAUGCUGGUGAUCCUGCUCUAGCCGAGGAGCUUGGUGAAGGAAGUACUGCCACCAGGACACUGCUUGCAAAUUAUUCCCAGACUCCAAGGCUUGGUAUGACACCAUUGCGAACGCCGCAACGAACGCCAGGUGGGAAAGGUGACGCUAUUAUGAUGGAGGCAGAGAAUCUUGCACGUUUAAGGGAAUCACAAACACCUCUUUUAGGAGGUGAUAACCCAGAGCUUCACCCAUCAGAUUUCUCAGGCGUUACACCACGUAAGAAAGAGAUACAGACUCCGAAUCCCAUGGCAACGCCUCUGGCUAGCCCUGGCCCUGGUGUUACCCCAAGGAUUGGUUUGACACCGUCCAGAGAUGGAAAUUCCUUUGGGUUAACUCCAAAAGGAACCCCUUUCAGGGAUGAGCUUCACAUAAAUGAAGAGGUGGAAAUGCAGGACAGCGCUCAGCUUGAGCUUCGUAGGCAAGCAGAGUUAAGAAGAGGUCUGCGGUCUGGUUUUGCUUCUAUUCCACAGCCUAAGAAUGAGUACCAGAUAGUUAUGCCACCUAUCACAGAGGAGAAGGAAGAAGCUGAAGAGAGAAUUGAAGAGGAUAUGUCAGACAGGUUAGCACGAGAAAGGGCUGAGGAACAAGCAAGGCAGGAGGCAUUGCUCAGAAAGAGGUCCAAAGUGUUGCAGAGGAGUUUGCCUAGGCCACCUGCUGCUUCAGUGGAGAUUCUCCGGCAAUCUCUUAUUAAAGGUGGUGAAAGCAGAAGUACCUUUGUGCCUCCUACAUCACUUGAACAAGCUGACGAGCUAAUAAAUGAGGAACUCCUUAGGCUCCUUGAGCAUGAUAAUGCUAAAUAUCCUCUUGAUGAACAAACUCAAAGAGAGAAAAAGAAAGGGAGCAAGCGUCAGACAAAUGGGCCAGCUUUCGUCCCUGAAAUCGAAGGUUUUGAUGAGCAUGAGCUAAAAGAGGCAAGUUCUAUGGUUGAGGAGGAGAUUCAGUAUCUUCGUGUGGCCAUGGGCCAUGAAAAUGAAUCUUUUGAGGAUUUUGUAAAGUCACAUGAUGCAUGCCAAGAGGACCUUAUGUUUUUCCCUGCUAACAACAGCUAUGGCCUUGCUAGUGUUGCUGGAAAUGCUGAUAAAAUUUCUGCUUUGCAACAUGAGUUUGAAAUGGUAAAGAAGAGAAUGGACGAUGAGGCAAAGAAAGCCUCUCGGCUUGAGCAGAAGAUCAAACUGCUGACACAAGGAUACCAGGCACGAGCUGCAAAAUUGGGGUCACAGAUCCAGGACACCUUCAAGCAGAUGAACACUGCAGCCACAGAACUUGAAUGCUUCCAAGAGUUGCAGAAACAAGAACAGAUGGCUGGUGCCUAUCGUGUGAGAAAUUUGUCUGAAGAAGUGAAUAAACAGAAAGCACUAGAACAGACUCUCCAGAGCCGCUAUGGUGAUCUGUUGUCUGGUUACCAGAGCAUCCAUGAACAACUUGAGGAGCACAAGAGGCUACUUAAGCUACAGGAGGAGGCAAUAGAGGCAGAAAAGCGUGCUAAGGAGGAGGCAAUAGAGGCAGAAAACCGUGCUAAGGAGGCGGCAUUAGAGGCAGAAAACCGUGCUAAGGAGGAGCCAAUAGAGGCAGAAAACCGUGCUAAGGAGGCGGCAUUAGAGGCAGAAAACCGUGCUAAGGAGGAGGCAAUAGAGGCAGAAAACCGUGCUAAGGAGGCAUUAGAGGCAGAAACCCGUGCUAAGGAGGAGGAAGCUGCAACUCGAAAUCGUGCUGCUGAGGAAGAAAAUGAGAGGAAGAAUCAUGACAUUGAAGAGGAAUCAGGAAAGAUGACUACAAUUACCGAUGAAGAAGCUGCAGGAAGCAAAGGGGAUCAGAUGGAUAUGGACAAUGCUGAUGUAGCUGGAGAACUGGUAGGUCCAAUUCCUCCAUUGCCUGACACUCAAGUGGAUAACGAUGGGGCUUCAAUUGAACAGAGUACUUCUAAUGCUCAGAGUGGUGACACCGUUACUGUGAAUGAGGGAGCCAUUGACAAGGUCAAUUCAUCCAAAUUAGAUGGUCAGGACAAUACCAGUUGUAGCAUGGAUAUUGAUGCUGGUAGCCAGGAAGAGGGAAAAAAUGUUCUCGCGGCUGCUGCUACAAGUGUAGAUGUAGGGAACACACCUGUAUCUUCAGAUCAAGCUGUCUCGAAUGAAGGGAGUGAUGCGGUUCACGCACCUGUAUCUUCAGAUCAAGCUGUCUCGAAUGAAGGGAGUGACGCGGUUCACGCACCUGUAUCUUUGGAUCAAGCUGCGCCAAAUGAAGAGAGCGGCGCGGUUCCUGAAUAA